This 403-nucleotide ribosomal RNA is filed under the name uncultured bacterium. RNAcentral describes it as "partial 16S ribosomal RNA". It matches the Rfam family "Bacterial small subunit ribosomal RNA", at positions 28 to 526 of the family's 1533-position model. The record is from RNAcentral.
GACGAACGCUGGCGGCGUGCCUAAUACAUGCAAGUCGAACGCAGUGGGGACGGGUGAGUAACCCGUGGGUAACCUCCCAUCAGAGGGGAUAACACUUGGAAACAGGUGCUAAACCGAUACUGAUGGAUGGACCCGCGGUGCAUUAGCUAGUUGGUGAGGUAACGGCUCACCAAGGCGACGAUGCAUAGCCGGGCUGAGAGGGUGAUCAGCCACACUGGGACUGAGACACGGCCCAGACUCCUACGGGAGGCAGCAGUGGGGAAGAUUGGACAAUGGGCGAAAGCCUGAUCCAGCCAUGCCGCGUGUAUGAAGAAGGCCUUAGGGUUGUAAAGUACUUUCAGUGGGGAGGCGUUACCCGCAGAAGAAGCACCGGCUAACUCCGUGCCAGCAGCCGCGGUAAUUC